RNAcentral lists this ribosomal RNA (468 nucleotides) under uncultured bacterium. RNAcentral's name for it is "partial 16S ribosomal RNA". It matches the Rfam family "Bacterial small subunit ribosomal RNA", at positions 28 to 507 of the family's 1533-position model. The record is from RNAcentral.
GACGAACGCUGGCGGCGUGCUUAAUACAUGCAAGUCGAACGGAAAGGCCCUGCUCUUGUGGGGCGCUCGAGUGGCGAACGGGGGAGUAACACGUGAGUAACCUGCCCUUGACUUUGGGAUAACUUCAGGAAACUGGGGCUAAUACCGGAUAGGAGCUCCUGCUGCACGGGGGGGGUUGGAAAGUUCCGGCGGUUGGGGAUGGACUCGCGGCUUAUCGGCUAGUUGGUGGGGUAGUGGCUUACCAAGGCUUUGACGGGUAGCCGGCCUGGGAGGGUGGCCGGCCUCCUUGCGCCUGCGGUACGGCGCAGUCUCCUACGGGCCGCAGCAGUCGAGAACCUUACGGAGUGACCGCGCGCCUGUUGCGGCGGCGCCGCGUGCGGGAUGACGUCCUUCGAGUUGUAAACCACUUUGGCCUGUACCGUACCGUGAGUGACGGUACUGGGUAAGAAAGCACCGGCUAACUACGUG